UCGGAUUGCAUUCUGCACGUGGUGUAACCGGUGACAGGUCGAUGGCUGUACCGGUACACAUUUUGUACCGGUACACCUUUGAUGGUCGUACCGGUACACUUGUGGCGAAUUUCAAACCCGAGCCUCGGGUUUGCAUUUUCGUAGGAUGUGUACCGGUACACUUUCCCGUGUACCGGUACACUUUGACAGAAUCUGAGCAGUUUGAACUGCAGGGGGUUUUUCGCAAUUGUGGACUUCUAUAUUACCACCCACGCCCCCUUGGGCCUUCCCUGAGCUGAGGAGGGUGGAGAUCAAGGUAAGAGAGCCCUCCAUCCCUUUCCUUCCAUUUUAUUUGGUGUUUAAGGCUUUUAUGCCUCAUUUUUGCUACUUUUGCAUCUUGGAGGCUUUUUCCACCAUUGGAGAGGACUUGGAGCUUUGUUAGAGGCUUGUUGGAGGAAAGAUCUUCCACCCCAUUUGGUUUGGAGCCCAAGUUGAGACUCCUAGAGAGGUUAGCAACAUGAUUUGAGCUUUUGAUCCAUAUUUUGCUAAGUUUUUGAGAUGAAACCCUAGAUUUGAUACUUAGGGCUUAUUUUUGGGCAUUUUCUAUCUAGGGCUUUUGGACCCAAAUUAGUUGGUUUAGAACCUUCCUUGGGCUUGGAUUGGAAGGAUUCUAGCUCCCCUUUGGAGCUUAGGAGAGGAUUUUUACUCUUGAGGUGAGUUUUGGCCCUUUUUGAUUCUCGGUUAAUGUUUGAUAUUAUAAGAUGAUCGUAAUGCCC
This 755-nucleotide long non-coding RNA is filed under the name Ananas comosus (pineapple). RNAcentral describes it as "long non-coding RNA (ACOM_LNC037176)". The record is from RNAcentral. Lineage: Eukaryota; Viridiplantae; Streptophyta; Magnoliopsida; Poales; Bromeliaceae.